CAAGAAGCCAGAGAGCAGCCAUCCAAGUCAUUCCCCCACCAGUUGAGGCUGAUGUCUUCCAAUCCCAAGCACAGGUACAGCAGCACGGCCAUGAAGGCGAGGCCAGCAUCCAAAGCCCCCGAGAGCACGUAGUUGUGCCGCGUCCACCAGUCGCGCCGGUAGCGGUAGACCACGUAGCCCGAGAAGAAGCCGACGAUGAUCCAUGUGGUGUAGUUUACAGCCGUCGCCGGCGGCAUCAUGCCGGUGGCGCCGAUCAAGACGGGCAUGUUGAUGAGACGGAUCCAGUCCUGGCCUGGGAAGGCCUUGUGUGCCAGCCAGACGAGCAGCGGCGCCACAGCGCCGACCAGGAAGAACCAGUUGAUGGCUGAGUAGGUGCCGAGGUCGCCGAAGAUCCUGCGAGGGCCGAUGAGACCCCAUAUGACGGACGCGUCGUAGAACAC
This 440-nucleotide long non-coding RNA is filed under the name Musa acuminata (dwarf banana). RNAcentral describes it as "long non-coding RNA (MACU_LNC003779)". The record is from RNAcentral. Lineage: Eukaryota; Viridiplantae; Streptophyta; Magnoliopsida; Zingiberales; Musaceae.